GUAGAAUCCUUCCUGAUUGUCUUUAAAUUUUUUUUUUCAAAUAUUUUAUUUAUUUAUUUGUCAGAGAGAGAAAGAAAGAGAGUGAAUGGGCACACGCAGGCAGAGUGGCAGGCAGAAGGAGAAGCAGAUUUCCCGCUGAGCAGGCAGCCAGAGAGCAGACUGUGUGCAUGUAUAGAAUACCAUUGAUUUGUGUAACAAGGUCCUUUUACUAGGGGUAAGUGCUUUUUAGGAUAAAAUCAGAUUAAAAUUAUUAUAGUUAUUCAUGCUUUUUAAAAUUGUUUUAUUUAAAAUAAUAGAAGCUAUACACCAA
Molecule: long non-coding RNA, 310 nt
Filed under: Mustela putorius furo (domestic ferret)
Lineage: Eukaryota; Metazoa; Chordata; Mammalia; Carnivora; Mustelidae
Description: lncRNA (ENSMPUG00000025115.1)
Source: RNAcentral